UACUAGAGUAGCACUCGCAUAUCAAUAAGCGGAGGAAAAGAAACUAACAAGGAUUCCCCUAGUAACGGCGAGUGAAGCGGGAAGAGCUCCAAUUUGAAAUCUUAAAGGGUUUCCCUUUACGAAUUGUAGUUUAAAGAAGUGUUUUCUGUUGAGGUUUUGGUAAAAGUUCUUUGGAAUAGGACAUCAUAGAGGGUGAGAAUCCCGUAUUUGACCUUUACUUUCAACUUUGUGAUACACCUUCAAAGAGUCGGAUUGUUUGGGAAUGCAGUCCAAAAUGGGUGGUAAAUUUCAUCUAAAGCUAAAUAUUGGCGAGAGACCGAUCGCGAACAAGUACCGUGAGGGAAAGAUGAAAAGAACUUUGAAAAGAGAGUUAAACAGUACGUGAAAUUGUCAAAAGGGAAGCGUUUGACACCAGUGUUGUUUUUCUGAAAAUCAAUUAAAGAACUGUUUAUGCUAAGUUGUUUAGACUUUAUCAGCUAACUGUUUAGUUUUGAGCUUUUCUUUAAUGCACUUUUCAGUUAACAAGUCAACAUCAAUUUCUUUUGCUGUAAAAAAGCUUGAGGAAGGUGGCUUGAGAUUCGUCUUAAGUGUUUAUAGCCUCUUGCCUAUGCAGUCGGAGAGAUUAAGGUCUGCAGCGUAGAUCCUUCGGGGCUAAAUGCAUUUGUGCUAAGUUAUAGCAUUUUAUAGACAACUUGUUGACUAUGAUUUGUCUUGUAGCUUACUCGCUUAUGUUAUUUUACCUACGCUUAGGAUGUUGAGCGCAUGUCUCUCUCU
This 774-nucleotide ribosomal RNA is filed under the name uncultured Neocallimastigales. RNAcentral's name for it is "partial large subunit ribosomal RNA". It matches the Rfam family "Eukaryotic large subunit ribosomal RNA", at positions 20 to 616 of the family's 3401-position model. Lineage: Eukaryota; Fungi; Neocallimastigomycota; Neocallimastigomycetes; Neocallimastigales. The record is from RNAcentral.